This is a long non-coding RNA of Pseudomyrmex gracilis, 322 nucleotides long. RefSeq lists it as uncharacterized. NCBI's taxonomy places the organism in Eukaryota, Metazoa, Arthropoda, Insecta, Hymenoptera, Formicidae. The record is from RefSeq and is a predicted model, not a curated record. The transcript is spliced from 3 exons.
UCUAAACAUGUUCUUCUGUGAACAUUUUUCAAUGAAAUUCAAGUUAUUGGAAGAAUUCACGCAAGUAUAUGCUAAUAAAUGUUCACAAAAAAAACUCGUAAACAUAAUAUUUCCAUCUUUGCUAUCAACUUCAAGUAAUUUCCAUAAACAGAAAUCCGAAAGAAAACAAAUCUGGAGCAGUAUUCUGCUAAUAGGUUGCAGAACGUCUGCAAACGGUGUCUUCAUAGGGUAUUUCUGUAGACACUGUUUAAUGGAAUUCGAUUUUCUGCGAGAACUCAUGCACCAUAUUCAUAUACAAGUAUGUUCAUGGAAAAAAUAAUCA